Long non-coding RNA from Triticum aestivum (bread wheat), 889 nucleotides. RefSeq lists it as uncharacterized. NCBI's taxonomy places the organism in Eukaryota, Viridiplantae, Streptophyta, Magnoliopsida, Poales, Poaceae. The record is from RefSeq and is a predicted model, not a curated record. The transcript is spliced from 4 exons.
CCCACUUCCCACGAUUAUCUUUUCCACAACCAGUUCCCUACGAAUAAGUACAUAGAUUAAGUAACUUCCUCUUCAACUCGUCCUGAGAUCAUCCCUCACCGCUAUUAACAAGUGCACGCCGCCGCCACCGCCAGAUCACACCACGCCGCCGCUGCCGCCCCCAUAUCAUACCACGCAGCCGUUCAUGACUUCCGGUAAGCCCCGAUCCGGAUUCCCUCGGUUCCCAUAUCACACGCCGCUGCCGCCGCUGCCGUCACCAUAUCACACCACGCCGCCGCUGUCGUGCAGCCAUUCAUGAGUUCGGGCAAACCCGAUUUGGAUUCCCUUGGAUCGCCUCCGUCCUCCACACUUGGGCCGCCACAAGCCCCGCGACGCUGUCGUGGUGGAUUUUGCCAUCACUCCGCACUGACCAGGGAUGAACGCCCCUGCAUCGCCGACCACGGAUGGACACCAUGCUUCUUCUACAUCUCCAGAGCAGCCGCCAUUUUCUUCGGUUAUUUAGGGUAAGAUGCCAUAGGUUCCAGUCAACCCCCGCCUCGCCUGUAUGCAUCCCCCUCAAUGAAGAUUUGCAGAAUACUGAACAUGACCUUGGAUGCUUAGACUGUGGUGGCAGCGGCAACAUUCAGGACAGAUAAAUUCAUGAUGCAUGGCUUGGAUGCUGAUUGCAAGGCCGUGAAUGGGCUACUACUAGAUAGUUUCACAUUAUCUUUUAGAAUGUUAUUCUUUAGGUCAAUGUUUCAAACAAUAUGUUUUAGAAUGUCGGAGAUGUUAAUUGCAAGGUUGAGAAUUAGCCUACUACUAGAUUGUUUCACAUCUUGUAAUCUUUGGAUUGUGCUCAAUGUAAUGCAACAGAAUCAAUUUAAUAUAUAUGAGACCUUUGGGUUUAUUA